RNAcentral lists this ribosomal RNA (253 nucleotides) under uncultured bacterium. Its description in RNAcentral is "partial 16S ribosomal RNA". It matches the Rfam family "Bacterial small subunit ribosomal RNA", at positions 524 to 776 of the family's 1533-position model. The record is from RNAcentral.
UACGUAGGGUGCAAGCGUUGUCCGGAAUCAUUGGGCGUAAAGAGCGUGUAGGCGGCCCGGUAAGUCCGCUGUAAAAGUCCAGGGCUCAACCCUGGAAAGCCGGUGGAUACUGCUGGGCUAGAGUCCGGAAGGGGCGAGUAGAAUUCCUGGUGUAGCGGUGAAAUGCGCAGAUAUCAGGAGGAACACCAAUGGCGAAGGCAGCUCGCUGGGACGGUACUGACGCUGAGACGCGAAAGCGUGGGGAGCAAACAGG